CCUACGGGUGGCAGCAGUGAGGAAUAUUGGUCAAUGGGCGCGAGCCUGAACCAGCCAAGUAGCGUGAAUGAUGACUGCCCUAGGGGUUGUAAACUUCUUUUAACAAGGAAUAAAAUGAGGCAAGUGUGCCUUUUUGUCUGUACUUUAUGAAUAAGGAUCGGCUAACUACGUGCCAUCAGCCGCGGUAAUACGGAGGAUCCGAGCGUUAUCCGGAUUUGUUGGGUGUAACUGGAGCGUAGACGGGUUGUUGAGUCAGUUGUGAAAGUUUGCGGCUAAACCGUAAAAUUGCAAUUGAUACUGGCAGGCUUGAGUACAGUUGAGGUAGGUGGAAUUCGUGGUGUAGCGGUGAAAUGCUUAGAUAUCACGAAGAACUCCGAUUGCGAAGGCAGCUCACUAAACUGUAACUGACAUUGAUGCUCGAAAGUGUGGGUAUCAAACAGGAGUAGAUACCCGAGUAGUC
Molecule: ribosomal RNA, 460 nt
Filed under: uncultured bacterium
Lineage: Bacteria
Description: partial 16S ribosomal RNA
Rfam family: Bacterial small subunit ribosomal RNA
Source: RNAcentral